UCUGAGCUCUGCCCUUCCCAU
Molecule: microRNA, 21 nt
Filed under: Mus musculus (house mouse)
Lineage: Eukaryota; Metazoa; Chordata; Mammalia; Rodentia; Muridae
Description: mmu-miR-6945-3p
Source: miRBase by way of RNAcentral